GCUGCCCGCCCGCCCUUCUACAGACAGUCACUGAGGAGGCGGCCAGAGCCUGGGCUGCGACCCUUACUGCAGCUGCUGAGUAAAAUUGUGAGGAAAAAUAUCCAAAAAUAUAUAUAUUUACCAGUACUAGUCAGAUGGUGGAGUACAGCAAGAAAGCCCACAUUAUCUGAGACCAUCACUGACAACGAUCAGUGCUGGCAGGUGGCAGAAGAGGCUGAACUGUUCUUACCUUGGAUAAACCUAGUCAGUGCUGCGGGAGGUGUUUCAGCCUUCAAGCUGUCAUGCCUCAGGUGGCUGAAGCUGCUCUAUUGGAAAGUAGAGGACAAGCGGAGGCUGCCAGAGCUGGAGGACAUGAUGAAACUUGAGGCCGGAGGAGGUUCUUGCUUAAUGUGUUAGUAACUCCCUGUGUGCAGCUCCAUAUCCGAGUUCCUGGAAUUUCAUCAUUCGCGACAGAAAUGCUUCCAGUUAUAAGUCUGCAAGCAGCAGCUAUUUAUGUCAGAUGGAGGCAAAUGACGGGAUUUGUGUCAAAGCCUGUUACAUCUUUUAAAGAUUUCCCUAUCAGUUCUGAAGAAGUUCUAUAGGAAGCUCAAAACGUAGGCAGCUAAGCGCAGACUUGGGUGGCUAACGUAGAAGUGUUAGCCCUUCAAUACGUCAGUGAUGAUCAAGAAUACUGUUUUAAGCAUAUACGCUCUCUGGGGUGUGCUGUACUGAAGAGAGCUGCCAUUUAUUCCCAUGAAAGUCCUCUCUUUUCUUCCUUAAUUGUAUAAAUACAAUAAAGUGAAACCCAUAAACUUCA
RNAcentral lists this long non-coding RNA (796 nucleotides) under Anser brachyrhynchus (Pink-footed goose). Its description in RNAcentral is "lncRNA (ENSABRG00000002024.1)". Lineage: Eukaryota; Metazoa; Chordata; Aves; Anseriformes; Anatidae. The record is from RNAcentral.